CUACUACCGAUUGAAUGGAUUAGUGAGCUCCAGGGAUUGAGGCGCCUUUGGGCAACCAAAGGUGUUUCUGAGAACUGGAUCAAACUUGCUCAUUUAGAGGUAAGURAAAGUCGUAACAAGGUU
This 123-nucleotide ribosomal RNA is filed under the name uncultured eukaryote. Its description in RNAcentral is "partial 18S ribosomal RNA". It matches the Rfam family "Eukaryotic small subunit ribosomal RNA", at positions 1699 to 1821 of the family's 1831-position model. The record is from RNAcentral.